RNAcentral lists this unclassified non-coding RNA (250 nucleotides) under Funneliformis mosseae. RNAcentral describes it as "partial contains 5.8S ribosomal RNA and internal transcribed spacer 2". The stretch from base 1 to 71 matches the Rfam family "5.8S ribosomal RNA", at positions 84 to 154 of the family's 154-position model. The record is from RNAcentral. Lineage: Eukaryota; Fungi; Glomeromycota; Glomeromycetes; Glomerales; Glomeraceae.
GUGAAUCAUCGAAUCUUUGAACGCAAAUUGCACUCCCUGGUAUUCCGGGGAGUAUGCCUGUUUGAGGGUCGUUAGAAUAAAAAAUCGAGGCGUUGUUCUUUUUUUUAAGGGUGAUCGCGUCGGAAUUGUGCCGUCUUUCAAAUGUUAAUUCAUGUCAAAGAUGCUUGAAAUUAAUCCAUCCGGUAUGAUUAAAGCGUAUCUAAGAUAAAUCUUUAUUAAGAACGCGCGAUGACGUACUAGCUCAUGAAGU